Molecule: long non-coding RNA, 1177 nt
Organism: Vicia villosa (hairy vetch)
Lineage: Eukaryota; Viridiplantae; Streptophyta; Magnoliopsida; Fabales; Fabaceae
Exons: 3
Source: RefSeq, a predicted model, not a curated record
GGAGUUCUGAAGAACUCAACCUUCGUCUUCUCUCCUUGUGCGACGGCGGCCAGAACUCCCACGUCUCCGUCUUCGAUCAGAUACCACCGCCACCAAAACAAACUGAAUGAGACUCCAUCACCUCUCUCACGAACGACACAGUGGCGACGGCGCGGUGGAUCUCCCUUCUCCGAUCGAAACGGCGCCGGAGAAAUUGUCCUCCGAGCAGCACCUCCACACGGCACCAUAUCCUCUCUCGCUCAUCUCUUCUCUUUCGCUACUCAUCUCUCUCGAUUUAUUUUCGUCGGAGACCGUCCGGUGUGUCUUCGAUUGAGAUUCAGAGCGUGAAGUUUCAUUGUGGUGAUGAUAAUACUCGAUUGCAGAUUGAUGUUGUGGAGGUCGAUGUGUUGUUCGUGAUGAAUUUGUGGUGGAUUCAGUGAUGGUUUUUGAUGCAAAGUAUUGAAGAUUCACGAUGAUGAAGCGGUUCGAUUCAGAGAUGUUGAUGAAGGCGUGAUGUGAUGAAGAUUAAGAGUGUAUGAAGUUGAGAUAGAAGAUCGAUUUUCUGGUUUCGAUUGAAUCAAUGAUGAAGAAGAUUGGAGAGGGAGGCUCUGAAGGAUUGAUGAUGGAGAUGAUGCCUCGAGAGAAUUCAGAAGUUUGUUACGUUUUGUUCAAGGUGAAUCCCAUUUCGGUUCUCAAUUUCUAAGAUUUUUUGCAGAUAGAUGAUGGUGAUUGAUUACGAGUUCUCCGGAUUCAUUGAAUUUGUGUGAAGGAUCAUGAAGGUUCCGAUGGAGUUAUUGAAUUGGUGGUGAAGGUUGAAGAAAGGAUUCGAUGAUGGAUGAAGAUGGAUUGCAGAGAAAGAGUUUGUCACAGGUUCUCCUCCAAUUUCUGUUACCAGGUUGAAUCAAGAGAGAAAGAAUUGAAGAGAAUCGUGAAUGUGAAGAUGAUGAAGAUAGAAGGAGUGAUGAUGAAUGAUGAAGGUUCUUGGAGAGGCUCAAAGUUUGUUACGUUUCGGUUAUGAAGAUUUUGGUUUUUAUGUGUAGAUGCAAGGUUUGAAACUGUUAGCAUUAAAUCCGGUAUCGAAGAAAACACGUGGAAUGCAACAUGGAAGCAUUGCAUUGAUGAGGCUAUAGACUUUAGGAGAUAGGAGCCCAAUGUAUUUUUGUAUAAAUUUCCUUUGAAUGAUGUAAUGACUUUUGAA